This 253-nucleotide ribosomal RNA is filed under the name uncultured bacterium. RNAcentral describes it as "partial 16S ribosomal RNA". It matches the Rfam family "Bacterial small subunit ribosomal RNA", at positions 524 to 776 of the family's 1533-position model. The record is from RNAcentral.
UACAGAGGUCUCAAGCGUUGUUCGGAUUCAUUGGGCGUAAAGGGUGCGUAGGCGGCGCGGUAAGUCGGGUGUGAAAUCUCGGAGCUUAACUCCGAAACUGCAUUCGAUACUGCCGUGCUUGAGGACUGGAGAGGAGACUGGAAUUUACGGUGUAGCGGUGAAAUGCGUAGAUAUCGUAAGGAAGACCAGUGGCGAAGGCGGGUCUCUGGACAGGUCCUGACGCUGAGGCACGAAGGCCAGGGGAGCAAACGGG